Molecule: long non-coding RNA, 359 nt
Organism: Carassius carassius (crucian carp)
Lineage: Eukaryota; Metazoa; Chordata; Actinopteri; Cypriniformes; Cyprinidae
Exons: 3
Source: RefSeq, a predicted model, not a curated record
GCCUGUGGUCUCUGCACUGAACAAGCAUUGCUCAGCUCAAUUAACCCACCCCAAACUUGGCGCCUUACAAAAAUAAUCAAAUUUAAUGGUGUAAUUGUGCAGCAAGGCACCAUUUUACCCUGCUUUAAACCUAUGCAAUAGACUCAAACCUGAACAAAGCACUGAUGACCCUCUACAAAGCAGGAAUGGUUCAGGCGGGGUAAAAUACUCCGAACAACACAACCAUAGCCAUUUACUCACUAGCCUGUCUACCUGCAUUCAUUUUAAAGCAAUAACUCAUGGAUGAGCAACACCACUCAUUGGCAACCACUCACACUGAUGGCUCCACUUAUGUGGUGACCAAAACAGCAGCACCUCCC